CCUUUUUUGAUAUUUUACCAAAAUCAUCAGAUCUCUCGAUGGUCGUGAGUGACUUCGAAGACGACGACGACGAGUCACACUUCCCCUGAGCUUCUCGCUUCUCAUACUCUUUCAAAUUCUGGGGCCAAUGAUUUAAACAGACAUUGAUUUUGGAACUCCGUGGUUCAAUGCACGGCCAAGUUUAUUAGAAACACUUUGGUUUGCUGGAGCUGAAACCGAAUCAGUCAAGGAUGGUGAGUUCCAUUUUUGCAUUGUGAGCCUUCUCAAAAUGAGAUACAAGUAAUGGCCGGUUUAGCUAUUGGUGUUUCCAGCAUCAAGUCUGGUGAACGUGCGCUCUUGCAUGUUUGCUGGGAAUUUAGCAUAUAGGAGAGAUGGAAACUCUUCUUUUUCCCAAUGUUCCAUCUAUAGCGGAAUUGUUAGAUGACGCUGAAGUUGUUGGAUUUGAUGAAACAAAGGAGGAACGUUUUUUCUUUAAGAUCAUUUGCUGAUUCUUGUUUCCUUACCUGAACACUCCACAACCAAGCUUUUAUCCCAAGCUCUUUGCUUAUAGCUGACUUAGAGGUUGGAUUGUACAGGGAAAAGCUCGCAGUGAUAUGACUAUGGAGGAAAGGUUUGGUGCAGCACACAGAAGGAAAAUGGAUGGGGCUCUCUGUUUAAGGAGGAUAAAUUGGAGGAGGCCAAUACGAAAUGGUUAGGAAUCUCUCUUUCUUUCUAACAAUUACGGUCAAAGUUUUGGUUUUCAAGGCAUACUCAGCGACUCUGCCCGAGGCUCUUGCAUCUCCUUUCGGCUCUAAAACAAAGAGCCUUAACUGGUUGAUAGUGUUAUCGCAAUGGUUGGUUUGCCUUUUCUGCCGGAGUUAAAGCAGAUAAAGAGGUAUGAGAAGCUUAACAAUUCAAUUAUAUAAGACCAAAGUGAAAGAUCACAACUCUCAAUUCUCCUAUGUCGGAAUUGAAUUUCUUAUCUUAUUACUGAUUUGUGCAGAAUUUACAAGGAGGAGCUAGCUUAGCUACUACCAUGAAGAUUUGGGGAAGCUGAGAUGUUGCCAGGAGAAGUAAGCACAAACCAAUAGUUGAGAGAUAUAAACAUAAACAGCAAAAGAGAGACUCAUAAGCAUCAGGUCCUUGACGUCUCCUUUCUUCUUCUCUGGCUUCAGAUUCUUCCCAAUCUUCCCAGCCUCUGAAAUCAUCCUUCUCAAUGUUCUCUGGAUCACUCCUUCAUUCUCUUCUGGUAAUUUCUGCUUCCGACAAGACAUCACUCUCAUAGAUCUAACUCCGUGUCUGCUUGAGGCUUGUCUCUUUGUACGGUGGUUAGUGCAGAGUGGGUGGUAGUAGAAGGUGGUGGAGAGAGCCGCCAUGAGAAGAUGAAUAGAAUAAUUGAAGAAAGUUUUUUGUUUUGGGAAUCAAAAGUGAGCAGGAAAAUAUCAGAAUCUUGAUAGCUUAACGACAAAAAUGAUUUGAAAAAUGGGUGGAUAGAUCUCAUCUAACACACACACAUGUAGUCACAAGGUACACGCCAAUGCAAAACCAAAUUGGCCGAAUUUCUAUUCGGUUCG
This 1553-nucleotide long non-coding RNA is filed under the name Arabidopsis thaliana (thale cress). Its description in RNAcentral is "potential natural antisense gene, locus overlaps with AT3G52070 (AT3G52072)". The record is from RNAcentral. Lineage: Eukaryota; Viridiplantae; Streptophyta; Magnoliopsida; Brassicales; Brassicaceae.